CAGAUGGGUUGUAAAGCAGUGGGGACAACUCGAGACAUCAACACAUUUGGCCUAGGAGCUACUAAUGAAGGUACAGUGCAGUGUUGGUUCAAGUUUUGCAAAGAAGACGAGAGCCUUGAGGGUGAGGAGCACAGUGGCUGGCCAUGGGAAGGUGGCAUUGGCCGGUGGAGAGCAGUCGCCCCAGCUGACCUGCUACAGCGAUGCGAGAAGUUGCCGAAAAACUCAGAUGCCAACCAUUUUACAGUCACUCAGCAUUUGAAAAAGCUCAAUAAACUUAAAAAAAAAAAUCAUCAUUUUGAAAUGUUGUCUUCUCUAAUUGUAUGUAGCAACAACCAGCCGUUUCUCCAUCAAAUGUGUGACAGAAAGUGGAUUUUAUAUGACAGCUCUCAGUGGUUGAAUGGAGAAGAAGUUCCAAAACACUUCCCAAAGCCAAACUUGCACCAAAAAAGGUCAUAAUCACUGUUUGGUGGUCUGCUGCUGGCAUCAUGCACGAUAGCUUUCUCGAUCCUGGCGAGACCAUUGCAUUUGAGAAGUGUGCUCAGCAGAUUGAUGCGGGGCACAGAAAACUGCAGCACCUGCGGCCAGCGCUGAACGAUAGAGCAGGCCCAGGUCUGCUCGAAAACCCCCAGCUGACGUAGCACAGCCAGCGCUUCAAAAGUGGAACAAGUUGUGCCUCGUUUGCCAUAUUCACCUGACCCCUAGUGAACCAAUUACCACUUGUUCAAGCAUCUCUGCGCAAAACACUUUCACAACCAGCAGGAAGCAGAAAAUGCUUUCCAAGAGUUCUUCGAAUGCUGAAACACGGAUUUUUACUCUAUGGGAAUAAGCAAAUUUCUCAUUGGCAAAAAUGUGUUGAUUAUAAUGGUUCCUAUUUUGGUUAA
This 881-nucleotide long non-coding RNA is filed under the name Bos taurus (domestic cattle). RNAcentral's name for it is "long non-coding RNA NONBTAT002827". Lineage: Eukaryota; Metazoa; Chordata; Mammalia; Artiodactyla; Bovidae. The record is from RNAcentral.